CAGGGAAACAAUUUUCAAGUAGUUUGUCUGAAAACAUACGUUCAAACUGAGUGAACAGUUUUGAUCUUUAAUAAUUAUAUUUCACUGGAAAGAAUUUUUUCCUAACCUAUUACAUACCUAAAAUAUCAUAAAUCAAUUAAAUAUGGUUUUAAUUUCUUAAGUACAGUUCUUUAAGUUGGUGACCAAAUUAUAUUUUGAUAUAAAAGGGCUCCAUGAUUCAGAAAGUAUCCUAUUUUUAAAGUAUUGGUUCAAUAUAUAUAUUUCAUAUAGCUUUCAUGAUAUUUCUUUUAAUAAAAAUAAAUUGUUUUUUCCAAAAUGUUUAUACUUUAAUAAAUCUAUCUGGCAAUAAUUUCAAAGAAAUUUUGCAAAGAUAGCAUUCCAAUGUAUAUGCAGUGAUUUUGUAUUUUUCUUCCUCAACUAUUGUAUGUUUGUAAUUUAAUCAUGUAAUAUUUAAAAUUUCAAACCUAAUUAUAGAUUGAUUUUGCCCUUCUUAAUGUGUGGUUUUUAAAUAACUAUUACACAAUGGAAAUAAGGUCCUUUGUUUAAAAAAUAACUAUGCAAUUCUUAAGAUGUCCAGAAGAUGUCUUUGUUGCCCUUUAGUUUUGCAACUGCUUUUAUUACAAUACUGUGACAAUGUCUACACUAUUACUAAGCUGGUAUCAUUUGCUUUUUCUUUUAUGAUUAUAUAUAAUGAAAUGCUGAAUAUAUGUCAUUUUAAUAACAAAAGUAUCUUUAAAUAUGUAAGUGGAAAAGUAAAUAUAAUAAGUUUUCACUGGAGAAAAGUGUUAUAGAAAAGUAGGAAGCAGAAAAAAAUAUACCACAUACAGUUAACAUUUUUGCACAUUUUUAACCAUUUUUCCUAUGGAUUUUUAAAUUAUAUUUGAGAUUUUUCAUUUGAAUUGAAAGUUAGCUCACAUCACUAAAUUGAGAUAUUUUGUAAUUCUUAUAAAUUUUUAAUUACAUCUGAAUUGCUUCUUGAAAAUAAUUUUAAUACAUAAUUUGAUAGCAACACUAAUAAUAAACACAUAUUUAGGCAUUGGUAGGUAUUACACCAAAUAUAACUAUAGACCCAACCUUUAAGAACCUUUUAAUAUAAAUACACAAUUAAGUAUUUUCAUAUAAAAGUACUGAAUGGGUGAUUGUUUACAUGAUUUGGCAUAGCAGUUUUGAAUUUUUUCUGUUACAACAGCAGAUGUUAUUAACAUGGUAUACAACUCCCCUGGAAAUACCUAGAUAGGCUAAGCUAUUAGUAUACACAAUUCAUAAGGCAAAGCUAUACCCCUAUUCCAUCCCUAUUCAACAAAAAAAAUGAAAAUGUUAUUGAAUGUAAGUGAUUUUUAUAGGAGUGAUUUUUAAAUCUGCUCUAAGUGAUUUUAAGUAAAUAAUUCACAAACUGAAAUUUAAGUUAUAGUUACAAAUUAUACCAAACAACUGAUUGCAAAAGUGUUAUAAAUUUACAAACCACUAACCCACAUUUUAAGUGAUUUAUAAUAAUACUAUGAAAUAAGUAUGACAUGUACUAUCUUCACUUACAUAGAAACUGUGACUAUAGAUACAUAUCACACCUAGUUCUACAUUUUUUUCAAUUCCAAAUUCAUUCUUUUUUCCAUUACAAGUUUAUUGGCAAUUAAUUAUUAAUAAUGUGCUGUUUAAUCAUUUAUUGUAGACCCCUAAUGUAUGUAAAGACUGUCAACUAUUCAUUUUCUUCC
Molecule: long non-coding RNA, 1709 nt
Filed under: Marmota monax (woodchuck)
Lineage: Eukaryota; Metazoa; Chordata; Mammalia; Rodentia; Sciuridae
Source: RNAcentral